AAAAAGGUAGGUUAUUAAAACCGCUGAAUUGUGGUUUCAGAAAAGUCGUAUGACCCUCUUUC
Molecule: transfer RNA, 62 nt
Filed under: Aporrectodea trapezoides
Lineage: Eukaryota; Metazoa; Annelida; Clitellata; Crassiclitellata; Lumbricidae
Description: tRNA-His
Source: RNAcentral